Non-coding RNA from Heterocephalus glaber (naked mole-rat), 342 nucleotides. The record is from Rfam. Lineage: Eukaryota; Metazoa; Chordata; Mammalia; Rodentia; Bathyergidae.
GGAUGUGAGGGCGAUCUGGCUGUGACAUCUGUCACCCCCUUGAUCGCCAGGGUUGAUUCGGCUGAUGUGCCUGGCUAGGCGGGUGUCCCCUUCCUCCCUCACCACUCCACGUGUGUCCCUCCCCAAGCUGCACGCUCGGUCGAAGAGGGCGACCACCCCUGAUAGAGGAGGACCGUUCCUAGGUCAAGGGUAUACGAGUAGCUGCGCUCCCCUGCUAGAACCUCCAAACAAGCUCUCAAAUCUUUUUAAAUCAUUUAGCUGUGCCAUUUGUUCUUGAUUCUCAAUGUAGAGCUAAAAGCCCCUAACAAUACCCAUGCCACAGCCUGAAUGCUAGGCUGCCUU